AAGAGAAAUCAUGUGUGUGGCACUUUUGAAGGAGAACAGGAAGGGAAAGGAAAAAUGGCCCUGGACUCAUUUACAAAGAGAUGUUUAUGAUGAAAAUGGCAUGGAAGAGGUCCAAGGAGGCACACUGGCUUUGGAAUAUUUCAGCAGGUGUUUUCUACGCUUAAGUAGUACAGUAAUAGUGGACUAGAAAGACACUUAAUACAUGUUAGGGACAGAGUUUCAGCUGGCACGAAGAGGUGUAUUUCCACUGAAGUCAAGAAUCUGGCCUUCUACUAUCUAAGCACUCAAAAUCUUCAAGACUUGGCUGCAGACCUUGAGAACAAGCUUUGUUGCAAGACUUUCAGCAUUGAAUGCUUGAACUUGGAACACAAAAAUAUCCUUUCAUACAGUAUUUUGGCACUUCACCUUCUGGUUGGGGCCAGAAUCAAGAUGUACAUGA
Pipra filicauda (Wire-tailed manakin) is the source of this 439-nucleotide long non-coding RNA. RefSeq lists it as uncharacterized. NCBI's taxonomy places the organism in Eukaryota, Metazoa, Chordata, Aves, Passeriformes, Pipridae. The record is from RefSeq and is a predicted model, not a curated record. The transcript is spliced from 3 exons.